Molecule: long non-coding RNA, 818 nt
Organism: Malaclemys terrapin pileata
Lineage: Eukaryota; Metazoa; Chordata; Testudines; Emydidae
Exons: 2
Source: RefSeq, a predicted model, not a curated record
UUGGCGCAAAGGUGGCUUUGCCUCCCACAUUUUGGGCCUCCGCAGCCCAAAUGGGAACAACACUAGAGAAAGCUCAAACUUAUUUUAGCUUUAACAUCCCUGUAGAAGUCAUUCUGCCAGCCCGUAAAGGCUGGAGCAUAGAGUGCUCUGUUCACACACUUCUCACCCCUAAGCAUGCCCCGGGGGCUCCAUAAAUGGACUGUUGUAGAGCCCUUACACUGCUUUACUCUAACUGGGUAGGCCCUCGGCGGGGUGAGAUGGGGAAAUAUGCUGGUAGGUUACACUGCCAGUUAUCUGUCCCCUUUACAACAUUUGAAAAGUGUGAAUGGGUCAGAUCAUAAGAGAGAAUUUGGGGCCUUUGCGAGUAUACACUAAGUAUUCCUUCAAAUCUAAACAUUAUUUCUGUAUAGAUCUUGACUGGAAAGAGCAGGAAUCUUGAUUUGAAGAAACUGUUCCCAAAUGAGCUGCUACAUCUAGGAAGAUGAUAUUAUUCAGCAGAGUGGCAUAAUGUUCUUCCAGAUAAGAUUAAGAAAUGCCUUGUGAAGGGAAAUGUCUACUCAAAAUGUGAAGUGAGCUGGAUUAAAGAAUUAGGACGUGAGGCAAGAAUGCAGAGGUAGCGAGUUGGUGCAGAAAUCUCCAUCAGUGAAAACAAAGCAGAAGAGAUUUGAAGAAAGCCUGUGGUGUUGUUCCCUUCAGGAGCCAGUGACCUAAGAACACCAAAGUAGUAGUCUACUUAUGAUUUUCCCUCCUCCCACAAACUGAAUGUUGAUUCUCAGUAUCAUUAGCAACAAGCAAAAUAAUAAAAAUUACAACUAGCA